Molecule: ribosomal RNA, 253 nt
Filed under: uncultured bacterium
Lineage: Bacteria
Description: partial 16S ribosomal RNA
Rfam family: Bacterial small subunit ribosomal RNA
Source: RNAcentral
UACGUAGGGGGCAAGCGUUGUCCGGAUUUAUUGGGCGUAAAGAGCGUGUAGGCGGCCUGACAGGUCAGCUGUGAAAACUCGAGGCUCAACCUCGAGACGUCGGUUGAAACCAUCUGGCUAGAGUCCGGAAGAGGAGUGUGGAAUUCCCGGUGUAGCGGUGAAAUGCGCAGAUAUCGGGAAGAACACCCGUGGCGAAGGCGGCCUUCUGGACCAGUACUGACGCUCAUGCACGAAAGCGUGGGGAGCAAACAGG